UUCGUUCAUUUUACUUUGCUCGUCGUCGUCUUGAUCUUGUUGCUGGACCGGCUCUCCUGAUUCCAGCUCAUGAGCUUGCGGAAGACCCCCUGCCUUUCUUCGCAGGUGGAUGUGGAUCUCCUCCCAAAGCUGCUGCUCUUCCGCUUCUUGCUGCCGCGGUUGCUGCUCAUGCUGCUCCAGCUCCCGAGCUUGGCCGCCUUCCUGUCACCGCCGCCCACGGGGGCCGCGGCGUCCCUGUCCGGCACCACCGGUGGCGCCACGCACCGGAUGAGCGCCCAGUCCACGCCGGAGAAGAACGGGUGCCGCUUGAUCUCGGCGGCGCCGCGCGUGGCGCCCAUGCGGCGGCGCGGGUCGCGCUCCAGCAGCCGCCCCACGAGGUCCCGCAGCUGCGAGGCGUCGGCCUCGCCGUCCAGCUGAGGGUAGGUGGCCUGCUUGGAGAGGAU
RNAcentral lists this unclassified non-coding RNA (443 nucleotides) under Zea mays. RNAcentral's name for it is "misc RNA Zm00001eb010930". The record is from RNAcentral. Lineage: Eukaryota; Viridiplantae; Streptophyta; Magnoliopsida; Poales; Poaceae.